GAGUAGUUCAGUGGUAGAGCCCCAGAUUGUGGAUCUGGUAGUCGCGGGUUCAAAUCCCGUCUC
Molecule: transfer RNA, 63 nt
Filed under: bovine gut metagenome
Rfam family: tRNA
About the family: Transfer RNA (tRNA) molecules are approximately 80 nucleotides in length. Their secondary structure includes four short double-helical elements and three loops (D, anti-codon, and T loops). Further hydrogen bonds mediate the characteristic L-shaped molecular structure. tRNAs have two regions of fundamental functional importance: the anti-codon, which is responsible for specific mRNA codon recognition, and the 3' end, to which the tRNAs corresponding amino acid is attached (by aminoacyl-tRNA synthetases). tRNAs cope with the degeneracy of the genetic code in two manners: having more than one tRNA (with a specific anti-codon) for a particular amino acid; and 'wobble' base-pairing, i.e. permitting non-standard base-pairing at the 3rd anti-codon position.
Source: RNAcentral